RNAcentral lists this transfer RNA (64 nucleotides) under Glandirana rugosa (Japanese wrinkled frog). RNAcentral describes it as "Rugosa rugosa (Japanese wrinkled frog) tRNA-Cys". The record is from RNAcentral. Lineage: Eukaryota; Metazoa; Chordata; Amphibia; Anura; Ranidae.
AAGCCCCAGCAGGUGUUACCCUGCAUCUUGAGGUUUGCAACCUCACGUGUUACACCCUAGGGCC